RNAcentral lists this ribosomal RNA (486 nucleotides) under Kocuria sp. HLAL9AKANTET. RNAcentral describes it as "bacterial SSU rRNA". It matches the Rfam family "Bacterial small subunit ribosomal RNA", at positions 116 to 614 of the family's 1533-position model. The record is from RNAcentral. Lineage: Bacteria; Bacillati; Actinomycetota; Actinomycetes; Micrococcales; Micrococcaceae.
CGUGAGUAACCUGCCCUUGACUCUGGGAUAAGCCUGGGAAACUGGGUCUAAUACUGGAUACGACGGCGCAUCGCAUGGUGUGUUGUGGAAAGGGUUUUACUGGUUUUGGAUGGGCUCACGGCCUAUCAGCUUGUUGGUGGGGUAAUGGCUCACCAAGGCGACGACGGGUAGCCGGCCUGAGAGGGUGACCGGCCACACUGGGACUGAGACACGGCCCAGACUCCUACGGGAGGCAGCAGUGGGGAAUAUUGCACAAUGGGCGGAAGCCUGAUGCAGCGACGCCGCGUGAGGGAUGACGGCCUUCGGGUUGUAAACCUCUUUCAGCACGGAAGAAGCGAGAGUGACGGUACGUGCAGAAGAAGCGCCGGCUAACUACGUGCCAGCAGCCGCGGUAAUACGUAGGGCGCAAGCGUUGUCCGGAAUUAUUGGGCGUAAAGAGCUCGUAGGCGGUUUGUCGCGUMUGSUGUGAAAGCCCGGGGCUUAACC